GUUGUAUGGUUAAGUGACUAAGCGUACACGGUGGAUGCCUUGGCAGUUGGAGGCGAUGAAGGACGUAUUAACUUGCGAUAAGCCUAGUCAAGCUAGUAAAAAGCACUGAGACUAGGAUUUCCGAAUGGGGAAACCCACCUGCUUGCAGGUAUCGUUAACUGAAUACAUAGGUUAACGAGGCGAACGCGGAGAACUGAAACAUCUAAGUACCCGUAGGAAAAGAAAUCAACC
Molecule: ribosomal RNA, 231 nt
Filed under: Pseudoalteromonas sp. SG44-1
Lineage: Bacteria; Pseudomonadati; Pseudomonadota; Gammaproteobacteria; Alteromonadales; Pseudoalteromonadaceae
Description: partial 23S ribosomal RNA
Rfam family: Bacterial large subunit ribosomal RNA
Source: RNAcentral